GAUCGAUUAGCUCAGUUGGUUAGAGCGCCACAUUGACAUUGUGGAGGCCGCAGGUUCGAGUCCUGCAUCGAUCA
Molecule: transfer RNA, 74 nt
Filed under: Candidatus Woesebacteria bacterium
Lineage: Bacteria; Candidatus Woeseibacteriota
Description: tRNA-Val
Rfam family: tRNA
About the family: Transfer RNA (tRNA) molecules are approximately 80 nucleotides in length. Their secondary structure includes four short double-helical elements and three loops (D, anti-codon, and T loops).
Source: RNAcentral